AAUACUAUAUUUUUUUAGUAGAUAAAAAAUUUAAAGAAAGUCUUUUUUAAAAAAAAAUUAAGAU
RNAcentral lists this transfer RNA (64 nucleotides) under Pyropia yezoensis (susabi-nori). Its description in RNAcentral is "Neopyropia yezoensis (susabi-nori) tRNA-Phe". The record is from RNAcentral. Lineage: Eukaryota; Rhodophyta; Bangiophyceae; Bangiales; Bangiaceae.